GGCUUAGAAGCAGCCAUCAUUUAAAGAAAGCGUAAUAGCUCACUGGUCGAGUCGGCCUGCGCGGAAGAUGUAACGGGGCUAAACCAUGCACCGAAGCUGCGGCAGCGACGCUGAUGCGUUGUUGGGUAGGGGAGCGUUCUGUAAGCCUGUGAAGGUGUGCUGUGAGGCAUGCUGGAGGUAUCAGAAGUGCGAAUGCUGACAUAAGUAACGAUAAAGCGGGUGAAAAGCCCGCUCGCCGGAAGACCAAGGGUUCCUGUCCAACGUUAAUCGGGGCAGGGUGAGUCGACCCCUAAGGCGAGGCCGAAAGGCGUAGUCGAUGGGAAACAGGUUAAUAUUCCUGUACUUGGUGUUACUGCGAAGGGGGGACGGAGAAGGCUAUGUUGGCCGGGCGACGGUUGUCCCGGUUUAAGCGUGUAGGCUGGUUUUCCAGGCAAAUCCGGAAAAUCAAGGCUGAGGCGUGAUGACGAGGCACUACGGUGCUGAAGCAACAAAUGCCCUGCUUCCAGGAAAAGCCUCUAAGCAUCAGGUAACAUCAAAUCGUACCCCAAACCGACACAGGUGGUCAGGUAGAGAAUACCAAGGCGCUUGAGAGAACUCGGGUGAAGGAACUAGGCAAAAUGGUGCCGUAACUUCGGGAGAAGGCACGCUGAUAUGUAGGUGAAGUCCCUCGCGGAUGGAGCUGAAAUCAGUCGAAGAUACCAGCUGGCUGCAACUGUUUAUUAAAAACACAGCACUGUGCAAACACGAAAGUGGACGUAUACGGUGUGACGCCUGCCCGGUGC
RNAcentral lists this ribosomal RNA (782 nucleotides) under Escherichia coli. RNAcentral describes it as "partial 23S ribosomal RNA". It matches the Rfam family "Bacterial large subunit ribosomal RNA", at positions 1103 to 1869 of the family's 2925-position model. Lineage: Bacteria; Pseudomonadati; Pseudomonadota; Gammaproteobacteria; Enterobacterales; Enterobacteriaceae. The record is from RNAcentral.